CCGCCCCGUCACGAUCCUGCUCAUCUCGGCUCCUUGUGGCCUUCCUCUUUCCCCGCGCUCUGCCCAUCACCACCACCACCACCAGACACUGUAUACAGUCAAACAUCCGAACAGGUGAUAUUGUUUGUAAGCAUGAGUUAGCAGCGCUCGCGGUACCUGUAUCUACGCACGUCUCCCACCCCCGUUCCCUGGUCAACUUCUCUCUCCCUCUCUGCUUUCUAUUUUCCCUUGCUUAUUAUCUUCGCUUUCUUGGGGGAGGGAGAGGGUGAGGUCGCUGGUGGUGUGCGUUUUGUCUGGUCGCCUCCGUCCUCCAGCCCACCUCCUUUUCCUUCGCUCCACGCGCCAUCAUUGGUCACUCAUCAUGAUGCAGGACACUGCUUCACCCUUUCCCCACCACCGUACGCCGGCGACGUACCAGGCCGGCUUGCAUUAUCAGGCCAACGGACGCGAAAGCGCGGCGCCGCUGCUUACCUCGUCGGCUGGAAAUGCUGCCAACGGUAAGCGGCUCAGUCACUGGGGCCGCAACGUUUUGCGUGGCUUUUACCAUGUCAAAUGGCAUCAGCGCACGCAGUGUGCCGUUGUAGCGUGCUUGCUGUGGUUCUUCAUCCUUUUUGUGCUCCUGCACACUUUUCUUCAGGUGUCGGGUCUGACGCAGUCGAUUUAUGCGGUUUUCUCGAGGCCGACUUCCGGGCUGCAAACACUCCUGGAGGACGAGCUCGUUAUACCUAGCCCUGUUGUGCCACCGAAUGGAGCAUUUUGUGGUCUGUGUACAGAGGGCCUCGUUGUCUUCCGUCCAGCUAGUGCCGCCACAUCCCUGGCUACGACGCCUGCCCAGACCGAGAUGGUAGUGUGCGUGGAAACGAUGGAGGAAGCCUGGUUGUCAGCGAGCGAGUCGGAGCCUCUCAGCACUGUACGAGACUGUGUAGCAAGGCUCUAUAACCUGGGUCUCCUGCAGCCUCCUCGUACUACCAUAACCGCGGUGAAUGACACGUGUGCAGCAGUGCGCGUGACAGUGCAGGUGCUCUCAGGCGAGUCAGAAGAGGCAGAUCGGAACAAGUGCAGCAGCGGGUUCGUGGCGGAGCUGCAGAUUUCAUCGACAGAACGGGAGAAGGUGGAGGUGCACACUCAGCGGUUCCCGUCGUGGCCGCUCUGCCCUGUCGCCUCACCGGAGGCUAUUGAUGCUAAGGAUGGACACCGAGGUGGCAGUGACGGUAAUCAUUACAUCGUGCCCGCGUACUUUGCGACAGCAGCUGUUCGAGACACAGACGCAGACUGCGAUGUCCCACCGCCGUGGAGAAUUGACACUAUCGAGGACCUUGAUGAGGUGGUACUGCGUUUCGCCGGGGACGCGGCUCAGACCACAGAGACAUCGUCGCUGCUGGCGAGUGACCUGCGCUGCCCGACCUACUUCCUCACGGCAAACCUUGGCCGCUUUGGCCGCCAUCACAAUCAGCUGCAGGAGAUCUUGAACGGCAUCUCGCUGGCCAGGAGAUCGAACCGCACGUUUAUUUUGCCACCCUUUGUGCCGGCGCUGUACAUGUCGUACUUGAGGCUAAAUCCAGAGCUUCUGUACGGAUGGAAUGCGCUACGCGGAAACGGCCACUACUGUGUUCUGUCGUACGCCGAGGCGCGGCCAAUACUGCGGCGUCUGCGUGAGCGCGAUGGGGUAGUGAGUAUGGAACGGGUCAGUUUUGCAGCCACUGCAGACCUGCACGUGCUGUUCAACACCACAGAAGAGCACGACAGUUAUGCAUGGGGGUCCAUGCCUCGCGUGCCGGGCACGGAUGGCGCGUUUGUGUACGAUGCGGAUGAAUGGUUCUCGAUGGGGGUGCGGCGAAGGGAGGAGAUGACAGCGCACACCGCAAGCAAUACCUCAUCAGUGCCAUCGCCGCUAACGUUCCACGAGGCAAGGCCGCCUAGUGCGGAGGAGUGUAGCGGCUUCGCCGGCCCCGCUCUGAACAAGAACUCAACGCAGUGGGAAAGGAUUCGGAGGUGCACCACUGCGUUUCUGCGCACCUACGGCGAUGGUGACGGGAGACGCGAGUCGUCGUUAGCCUCACGGCGACAGCCACGCAUUGUGGUGAUUUCGAGCGUCACAGCGUUUCAUCUGCGGCCGACGCUGACGGAAAUGACCAGGCUGCUUGGCCUCCUGCGGCCGUCACCGACACUCACGGUGGAGAUUGGCCGGUACUACCGACUCUAUGCGACGCAGCUCCAGUGGCCAGCCAACACCGAUCCGAAGCGCUCUUUUUCAAACGUGCUGCAGCCAUUUCGUUACAAGAGCACCAUUGGUGUGCACGUACGCCGUCGCGAGUUUACGUGUCGCGAGGAGGCCGAGCACCCCAGCGCCACCAUCAUCGCUAUGUCGGAGGCGCGCUACCAGUUUGACGGCACAGGUAAAAACGAUAGCGCCGCUGCUGGGCGCCCCAUCACCACCGUAGCGCGACUGGCGAGCGACUGCGGAUGGAAUUCGCAGUCGCUACUGCACAUCUACGACACCUAUGCGAGCUGGAUGCGAUCGCGACAGGCGCAGGGGCUGAGGCGGUCGCGUUGCUUCGCGCAUGUGCAGACUUCAAACAAACAGGUGCUGCGGAGCUACGUCGCCUUUGACGAGCAAGUCGGCCCCAUUGGCUCUCAGCUGCAAGCUGCACUGCAGCAGCGCUACAACCCACUAAAGAAGAAGCGCGCCGCCAAUGGAUAUCCACCCAUCUAUGCCGCAUUCUACGACCACCGGCCCCGCAAAGACCUUUUCCAGACUUACCAAGAAAUCCUGGCAAGAUGGGAGCAUUCAUCCGCAGACACGCAACGCGCCGACGGGGAAGCCGUCUUCGACGUCGCUUCUGUACCGCGGACAACGGACAGUCUUGUUGAGAUGUUGUACCCCAUCGCGGAGCAGGAGGCGCUGGCCCUGGGGAUCGACUUCUUUGUGCUCGGUAACACAGGCGUGUUCCGCGGCAAUAUUAUUUCGUCCGUGUCGAUCAACGUGUGCUUGCGCCGCUUGGGCAGAGGGCUGCCGUGUCACGGCGUCCUCGCUGGGUACUACGAAAUGCUGUACAAGGGUUACAUGUGAGCUUCUCGACACAGCCUCAAGCCCUCACCUCCCCGUCACCCUACUCCCACACCUCCACUUACGGCGACUGGUUGGGACCGCAUUCCACCAUCCCCACUGGGCGGCAUCGGCCCCUCUUUGAAGAUGCCGUUGGUGCAAGAAUUUUUCGUUUUCUCUCCCCUUCCCACCGCCACCCGUGAGCACUUUCUUAUUUGAAGCCCUGCCUACUGAAUCCCCUCCUGGGCACACGCGCAGCGCUCUGUUGUGCAUGUCGUGCGCCCGCUUCAGGCAACUAGCUGCUCUGGCAGCUAUUUGUUUUUUUUUUCUGCCUUCUCUUGGUUCUCGUAACAGAGCGACUUAGCCCAUUUUGGCUUUUUAUUCUGCUCUCGUGCCCUCGUGCUUCCUUUCCACUCGUACUGCUGGCAUCGAUCAUGUGCUAAUGCUUUAUUUCAUGCUACCGUUUGUGCCUGUGUACCGCCGCAUAUACGUAGGUGGCGCGCGUGCGCAAGUGUGUUCAAGGAGAGCAAC
This 3577-nucleotide unclassified non-coding RNA is filed under the name Leishmania donovani. Its description in RNAcentral is "gene:LdHU3.34.0900(CDS-product:phosphoglycan_beta _12_arabinosyltransferase_(SCA_like))". The record is from RNAcentral. Lineage: Eukaryota; Euglenozoa; Kinetoplastea; Trypanosomatida; Trypanosomatidae.